UUGAAACUCAAAGGAAUUGACGGGGGCCCGCACAAGCGGUGGAGCAUGUGGUUUAAUUCGAUGCUACGCGAAGAACCUUACCAGGUCUUGACAUCUUCUGCCAACCUAAGAGAUUAGGCGUUCCCUUCGGGGACAGAAUGACAGGUGGUGCAUGGUUGUCGUCAGCUCGUGUCGUGAGAUGUUGGGUUAAGUCCCGCAACGAGCGCAACCCUUAUUGUUAGUUGCCAGCAUUCAGUUGGGCACUCUAGCAAGACUGCCGGUGACAAACCGGAGGAAGGUGGGGAUGACGUCAAAUCAUCAUGCCCCUUAUGACCUGGGCUACACACGUGCUACAAUGGACGGUACAACGAGUCGCGAAACCGCGAGGUCAAGCUAAUCUCUUAAAGCCGUUCUCAGUUCGGAUUGUAGGCUGCAACUCGCCUACAUGAAGUUGGAAUCGCUAGUAAUCGUGGAUCAGCAUGCCACGGUGAAUACGUUCCCGGGCCUUGUACACACCGCCCGCCACACCAUGAGAGUUUGUAACACCCAAAGCCGGUGAGGUAACCUUCGGGGACCAGCCGUCUAAGGUGGGACAGAUGAUUAGGGUGAAGUCGUAACAAG
This 600-nucleotide ribosomal RNA is filed under the name uncultured Lactobacillus sp. RNAcentral's name for it is "bacterial SSU rRNA". It matches the Rfam family "Bacterial small subunit ribosomal RNA", at positions 894 to 1495 of the family's 1533-position model. Lineage: Bacteria; Bacillati; Bacillota; Bacilli; Lactobacillales; Lactobacillaceae. The record is from RNAcentral.